AGAUUGAACGCUGGCGGCAUGCCUUACACAUGCAAGUCGAACGGCAGCACGGGAGCAAUCCUGGUGGCGAGUGGCGAACGGGUGAGUAACAUAUCGGAACGUACCCAGUAGUGGGGGGAUAGCCCGGCGAAAGCCGGAUUAAUACCGCAUACGACCUAUGGGUGAAAGCGGGGGAUCGCAAGGACCUCGCGCUAUUGGAGCGGCCGAUAUCAGAUUAGCUAGUUGGCGGGUAAGAGCCCACCAAGGCGACGAUCUGUAGCUGGUCUGAGAGGACGACCAGCCACACUGGGACUGAGACACGGCCCAGACUCCUACGGGAGGCAGCAGUGGGAAUUUUGGACAAGUGGGCGCGAAGCCGUGACUCCGAGUCCGAUGCCCGCGGUGGUAGGGAAGAAGGCCUUGGUAGUAACC
RNAcentral lists this ribosomal RNA (411 nucleotides) under uncultured soil bacterium. RNAcentral's name for it is "bacterial SSU rRNA". It matches the Rfam family "Bacterial small subunit ribosomal RNA", at positions 26 to 430 of the family's 1533-position model. The record is from RNAcentral.